AAAAAAACUCACGUGGUUCCUGUAUGAUCAUAACAAUAUAAUAUGUACAUUAGGUGUAUUUCUAUCUAAAAUUAUUAUAUAUACCCCCAAGAAAAGCUUAUAAAAUAUCAGUUAAUUUCCAGAGUAGUAACCCGUAGAGAAAGAUAGUGUUUAAGUUAUAUGCAAAGCUUCAAAGAGAACAUAUACAUACAUACAUACAUACAUACAUACAUACAUAUAUAUACUUAGGUGUAUUUCUAUCUAAAAUUAUUAUAUAUACCCCCCAAGAAAAGCUUAUAAAAUAUCAGUUAAUUUCCAGAGUAGUAACCAGUAGAGAAAGAUAGUGUUUAAGUUAUAUGCAAAGCUUCAAAGAGAAUGUAUACAUAAAUACAUACAUAUAUACACACAUAUAUAUACUUAGGUGUAUUUCUAUCUAAAAUAAUUACAUAUACCCCCAAGAAAAGCUUAUAAAAUAUCAGUUAAUUUCUAGAGUAGUAACCAGUAGAGAAAGAUAGUGUUUAAGUUAUAUGCAAAGCUUCAAAGAGAAUAUAUACAUACAUACAUACAUAUAUGUACAUUAGUUGUAUUUCUAUCUAAAAUUAUUAUAUAUACCCCCAAGAAAAGCUUAUAAAAUAUCAGUUAAUUUCCAGAGUAGUGCCAGUAGAGAAAGAUAGUGUUUAAGUUAUAUGCAAAGCUUCAAAGAGAAUAUAUACAUACAUACAUACAUACAUGCAUACAUAUAUAUACUUAUAUAUCUAGAUAUAUCUAGCUAUCAGAUUCGGCCAGCCAAAAAAAUUUUAGUCGGUUUGAUUAAUUGAAAGAUUUACUUAGAUUAGUGUUGAGAAUAAUCUUUUUGGUACCUUUUCAUACUUUGCCACCUUCUUC
RNAcentral lists this long non-coding RNA (864 nucleotides) under Carica papaya (papaya). Its description in RNAcentral is "long non-coding RNA (CPAP_LNC000136)". The record is from RNAcentral. Lineage: Eukaryota; Viridiplantae; Streptophyta; Magnoliopsida; Brassicales; Caricaceae.